This 1165-nucleotide ribosomal RNA is filed under the name uncultured Flavobacteriaceae bacterium. Its description in RNAcentral is "bacterial SSU rRNA". It matches the Rfam family "Bacterial small subunit ribosomal RNA", at positions 363 to 1533 of the family's 1533-position model. Lineage: Bacteria; Pseudomonadati; Bacteroidota; Flavobacteriia; Flavobacteriales; Flavobacteriaceae. The record is from RNAcentral.
AUUGGACAUGGAGGCAACUCUGAUCCAGCCAUGCCGCGUGCAGGAAGACGGCCCUAUGGGUUGUAAACUGCUUUUAUACAGGAAGAAUGUUACCUACGCGUAGGUAUUUGACGGUACUGUAAGAAUAAGGAUCGGCUAACUCCGUGCCAGCAGCCGCGGUAAUACGGAGGAUCCAAGCGUUAUCCGGAAUCAUUGGGUUUAAAGGGUCCGCAGGCGGUUCAUUAAGUCAGAGGUGAAAUCCUACCGCUCAACGGUAGCAUUGCCUUUGAUACUGAUGGACUUGAGUUAUAGUGAAGUAGUUAGAAUGUGUAGUGUAGCGGUGAAAUGCAUAGAUAUUACACAGAAUACCGAUUGCGAAAGCAGAUUACUAACUGUAUACUGACGCUGAGGGACGAAAGCGUGGGUAGCGAACAGGAUUAGAUACCCUGGUAGUCCACGCCGUAAACGAUGGAUACUAGCUGUUCGGCCAACAAUGGUUGGUUGAGUGGCUAAGCGAAAGUGAUAAGUAUCCCACCUGGGGAGUACGCUCGCAAGAGUGAAACUCAAAGGAAUUGACGGGGGCCCGCACAAGCGGUGGAGCAUGUGGUUUAAUUCGAUGAUACGCGAGGAACCUUACCAGGGCUUAAAUGUAGGUUGCAUAAACCAGAGAUGGUUUUUUCUUCGGACCACCUACAAGGUGCUGCAUGGUUGUCGUCAGCUCGUGCCGUGAGGUGUCAGGUUAAGUCCUAUAACGAGCGCAACCCCUGUUGUUAGUUGCCAGCAAGUAAAGUUGGGUACUCUAACGAGACUGCCGGUGCAAACCGCGAGGAAGGUGGGGAUGACGUCAAAUCAUCACGGCCCUUACGUCCUGGGCUACACACGUGCUACAAUGGCCGGUACAGCGAGCAGCCACUACGCGAGUAGGAGCGAAUCUAUAAAACCGGUCUCAGUUCGGAUCGCAGUCUGCAACUCGACUGCGUGAAGCUGGAAUCGCUAGUAAUCGGAUAUCAGCCAUGAUCCGGUGAAUACGUUCCCGGGCCUUGUACACACCGCCCGUCAAGCCAUGGAAGCUGGGGGUACCUGAAGUCGGUGACCGCAAGGAGCUGCCUAGGGUAAAACUAGUAACUGGGGCUAAGUCGUAACAAGGUAGCCGUACCGGAAGGUGCGGCUGGAACACCUCCUUUCU